UUCAAAAAAUAACUUCAUCUUUUACCUUUCAUAUGCCAUAUAACCGAAAUUUUUGGGAAUCAUACAGGGCGAGCAAUAAUGAACUUUACCCAUGAAGGUCCGACCCGAAAAUCACAUUUUAUUUAAUAACUUUUUAGUGGUGGCACCUGGACCAUUUAUAUUCUCAGGGAUUAAAUACUUUAAUAACCCCAUUAUUUGUGUAAAAUUACAAUCUUCCAACAUUAAUAGGUUCUGAGCAAUUCGAAUUUUCGCGUUUAAUUCAUUUGCCACGUCCCUGUACAUGGUGAAAAGAUCAAACAACAUCUAAAGGAUCCGAAAUUUUGUUUUACAACACAUACUAAAAUUUCAGGGUUCCAGCGAUAGUACAAGUACCCGAAAAAUGCGAUUUUAUGAAAAAAGUCCAUUUUUUUGCGUUUUUGCAGGUAAUUGGAGGUGUCAACCUAAACUCUGAUGAAAUGGCUGGUGGGAACAAUACUUUGACGCAUGGUGGAUACAAAUUUUUUGCUCGUGACAGGUGGCCGGGACUUGGUUGGGUUUUUUGUAAAAUUAUGAAUGAAAAUGAACCGGAAACGAUCAGGGAAAGGAAGCACCGAAUCAGAAAAUGAAUGGGCUUUCCGAAUCUGUGCAUAUCAAUUGGGGAAAUUGUGUAUUGCGGCCAGGAAAAUUCGGCAAACAUUUUGACGUCUUCGAAAAAUGCCGUUUUUUUGAAAUGUCAGUGUCUUUAUACCGGGGUGAGACGAAAUGAAAUUUGCCCGAUUAUUUUAUUAAAAUUAUUCGAAUAUAUACACGGGUCAGUCGUAAUGAUCUACUUAAUUUAAAAUAAGAAUUUAGAUAUUAGGUGAGUUUUUACUAUUUAGUUUAUUAUUAAUAAAUGUUAACAAUUCUUAAACAUUGCUUUUGGGAUAUAAAUAAAAAUUUUUUGAAAUUAUUGAUUUUUAAGGUUAGUCGAGUAUCAUAACUUUUUUGGUAUUGGUGCGAUUUGGUUGAAAUUUGGUACCUAGUACCUAUUUCGGAUAAGAUUAAUAAAUUUUUACAGAUAUUUGACAUGACUAUGUUUUAAGGUCACGUGAUUAUCAAAACUUUCUUCCUAUUUGUCCGAUUUGAUUGAAAUUUGGUAUUUGGGGUUUAUUUAGGAUGCAAUUAUUAAUUUUUCACAGAUAUUUGACAUUUGACUUCCAGGUCACGUGACUAUUGUAACUUUUUUGCUAUUGGUCUGAUUGGGUUCAAAUUUGGUAUUUGGGCUUUAUUUAGAAUGCAAUUAUUAAUUUUUGACAGAUAUUUGACAUUUGACUUCCGGGUCACGUGACUAUUGUAACUUCUUUGCUAUGAGUCCGAUUGGGUUCAAAUUUGAUAUUUAUGCUUUAUUUAGGAUACAAUUAAUAAAUUUUAACAGAUAAUUGACAAAUUAUAUUUUAAAGUCACGUGACUUUCAUAAUUCUUUUGCUAUUGAUCCGAUUGGGUUGAAAUUUUGUAUUUGGGCUUUAUUUAGGAUGCAAGUAAUAAAUUUUGACAGAAAUUUGACAUAUUGAAUUUUAAAGUCACGUGACUUCCAUAACUUUUUUGCUAUUGAUCCGAUUGGGUUCAAAUUUGGAAUUUGGGGUUUAUUUAGGAUGCAAUUGUUGAUUUUUUACAAAAUUUUAAAAUAUUAAG
This 1650-nucleotide long non-coding RNA is filed under the name Anthonomus grandis grandis. Its description in RNAcentral is "uncharacterized LOC126743529". The record is from RNAcentral. Lineage: Eukaryota; Metazoa; Arthropoda; Insecta; Coleoptera; Curculionidae.